Molecule: ribosomal RNA, 469 nt
Filed under: uncultured bacterium
Lineage: Bacteria
Description: partial 16S ribosomal RNA
Rfam family: Bacterial small subunit ribosomal RNA
Source: RNAcentral
AACGAACGUUGGCGGCGUGGAUUAGGCAUGCAAGUCGAACGCGAAUCCCUGGGCAACUGGUGAGGAGAGUGGCGAAAGGGGCAGUAAGGCGUGGGUAACCUACCCUCCGGGCCGGGAUAGCUUCGGGAAACUGAAGGUAAUACCGGGCGACGCAGCGAGAUCGCAUGGUCUUGCUGCCAAAGGUCCGCCGCCGGGGGAGGGGCUCACGUGGUAUUAGCUAGACGGCGGGGUAACGGCCCACCGUGGCAAAGAUGCCUAGCAGGUGUGAGAGCACGACCUGCGCCACUGGCACUGAGACACUGGCCAGACACCUACGGGUGGCUGCAGUCGAGGAUCUUCGGCAAUGGGCGCAAGCCUGACCGAGCGACGCCGCGUGUGCGAUGAAGGCCUUCGGGUUGUAAAGCACUGUCGAGGGGGAGGAAGCCGCAAGGUUGACCUAUCCCUGGAGGAAGCACGGGCUAAGUUCGUG